This 492-nucleotide ribosomal RNA is filed under the name uncultured bacterium. RNAcentral describes it as "partial 16S ribosomal RNA". It matches the Rfam family "Bacterial small subunit ribosomal RNA", at positions 29 to 507 of the family's 1533-position model. The record is from RNAcentral.
AGUGAACGCUGGCGGUAGGCCUAACACAUGCAAGUCGAACGGCAGCACAGUAAGAGCUUGCUCUUACGGGUGGCGAGUGGCGGACGGGUGAGGAAUACAUCGGAAUCUACUUUUUCGUGGGGGAUAACGUAGGGAAACUUACGCUAAUCCCGCAUACGACCUACGGGUGAAAGCAGGGGAUCUUCGGACCUUGCGCGAUUGAAUGAGCCGAUGUCGGAUUAGCUAGUUGGCGGGGUAAAGGCCCACCAAGGCGACGAUCCGUAGCUGGUCUGAGAGGAUGAUCAGCCACACUGGAACUGAGACACGGUCCAGACUCCUACGGGAGGCAGCAGUGGGGAAUAUUGGACAAUGGGCGAAAGCCUGAUCCAGCCAUACCGCGUGGGUGAAGAAGGCCUUCGGGUUGUAAAGCCCUUUUGUUGGGAAAGAAAAGCAGCAGGUUAAUACCCCGCUGUUCUGACGGUACCCAAAGAAUAAGCACCGGCUAACUUCGUG